ACCUGGUGGGUGGCUCUUGAUCAGUCUUUUGUGCUCAAUUUAUUAUCUUGUUAAGUAUAUUAGGAAAUCAUGAUAUCAUGUUAUUCGUGAAAUAAUUGUCAUUAUCACAAAAGUCAAAUUAUGUGACUUAUAUUCUUGUACUAGCCUCGAGCUUAACUCAAGGUUUCAUAAUUCUUGUAAGACGUUCCCUCAUCUCACUAACUAUUAUUCCA
RNAcentral lists this long non-coding RNA (212 nucleotides) under Linum usitatissimum (flax). RNAcentral describes it as "long non-coding RNA (LUSI_LNC005997)". Lineage: Eukaryota; Viridiplantae; Streptophyta; Magnoliopsida; Malpighiales; Linaceae. The record is from RNAcentral.